UUCGGACACAAUUCCCAACAAGUCAACAACGGCAGCUGCUAUUGACGCAGAACUCCUAUCUUCAGUCCUGAAGAGGUUGGGCGAGCUUGAAGAGAAAGUUACCAGUCUUCAAGAAAAGCCAUCUGAGAUGCCCUAUGAGAAAGAGGAACUGCUAUAUGCUGCUGUUUACCGAGUUGAUGCACUAGAAGCAGAGUUAAUUGCCACCAAGAAGGCUCUGCACGAGGCUUUGAUGAAGCAAGAGGAGCUGCUUGCUUAUAUAGACGGUCAAGAAGAUGCUAAAUACCGAAAGAAGAAAUUUUGCUGGUGAGAUAAUGUGUUCGUUCCAUUUGGAGAUUUCAUCGUUGAAUUCAUCUUCUGCUGUAUGACUGUAUCGGAUGCCUAAAUUUAACCAAUAUGGAUCUGAGUUGUAAUCUGACGGCUAGUUUGAUGGUAUAAUAUACUUUAAUUGAGGAAUUUUAUCAAACAUAUAAAGAUACAUCUUGUGGAGAUUCUGUUGAUCCGUGGUUUAGUUUUUUUCGCACAAGGGGUCUUUU
Non-coding RNA from Erythranthe guttata (spotted monkey flower), 533 nucleotides. The record is from RefSeq and is a predicted model, not a curated record. NCBI's taxonomy places the organism in Eukaryota, Viridiplantae, Streptophyta, Magnoliopsida, Lamiales, Phrymaceae.